GCGGGAGUAGUUCAAUGGCAGAACCCUAGCCUUCCAAGCUAAUGACGCGGGUUCGAUUCCCGUCUCCCGCUCCA
Molecule: transfer RNA, 74 nt
Filed under: Rubrivivax sp.
Lineage: Bacteria; Pseudomonadati; Pseudomonadota; Betaproteobacteria; Burkholderiales; Sphaerotilaceae
Also listed under: 9 other names
Description: tRNA-Gly
Rfam family: tRNA
About the family: Transfer RNA (tRNA) molecules are approximately 80 nucleotides in length. Their secondary structure includes four short double-helical elements and three loops (D, anti-codon, and T loops).
Source: RNAcentral